Molecule: non-coding RNA, 969 nt
Organism: Pantherophis guttatus
Lineage: Eukaryota; Metazoa; Chordata; Lepidosauria; Squamata; Colubridae
Source: RefSeq, a predicted model, not a curated record
UUUUUUUCAGUUUUUUUUUUAAAGGAAGGGUUCGUACGAGGCGAAAUUGGGGGAGUGGAUAUGUUCUGCGGUAUCUCUAUAGGAGUGCCGGAGGCGGGAGGAGGAAUGUGGCAAAAGGAAUGUGGGCGUUGCCUCCAAGGGAGAAGGCGCGGCCUGUUGCUUGUUUUCGUCGCCCGUCCUGCGGUUCCUCGUGCAGCUCGGAGGCAGCAGCCAAUCAGGAGCUCUGUGGCGCCGUCAGCCGAACGAAGUUCCACGCCCCUUUUGUUGGCGGAGCGAAGGGGAAGUUACUCCGGCGUUGCACCUGCCCUGCAGCGCUUGAAAACGCGAAGUCACUGUUGGCUCGGCCAAGGGUGUUGGCCUCGUUUCGGACUGCUGCGAGUGAUUAUAGGGCAGCUGCUUGGGGAAAAAAAAAAAAAAAAGCGCCGAAGGAUUGUUUUGGAAACUGGAAAACUGCCCAGUUCCUCUUUUCAAUUUUUGUGUGUGUAUGUGGAGGAAUGUUCUUUUUUUCCUGGAGACGAAACCAUAUGAAGAACGGCUGCAGAUUUUGGGUCUGGCCAAUCUAAAGAAAAGAAUUAGGGGGUGACAUGAUAGCAGUAUCCCAGGAUUUGCCAGGCUGCCACAAAGAAGGUCAAAUUAUUCUCCAAAGCACCGGAGAGCAAGACAAGAAACAAUGGUUGGAAACUAAUCAGAGAGAGAGAAGCAACCUGGAAUUGAGGAGAAACUUCCUAACAUUGAGGACAAUUAACCAGUGGAAAUCGUGGGCGCUCCAUCACUGAGGUUAAGAGGAGACUGGAUAGUCACUUGUCUGAAGUGGCAUAGGGUCUGUUGCUUGAGGAGGGGGCUGGACUAGACGACCUCCAAGGUCCCUUCCAGCUCUAUUCUAAUUCCUUUGUACUUACAGCUUCGUCUCCCUGACCGCUUAUUGCGGGCCAGGUUUUGACCAGAUUUAAAUAAAUACUUUUCAAUGUG